GACGAACGCUGGCGGCGUGCCUAAUACAUGCAAGUCGUGCGGACCUUUUAAAAGCUUGCUUUUAAAAGGUUAGCGGCGGACGGGUGAGUAACACGUGGGCAACCUGCCUGUAAGACUGGGAUAACGCCGGGAAACCGGGGCUAAUACCGGAUAGUUUUUUCCUCCGCAUGGAGGAAAAAGGAAAGGCGGCUUCGGCUGCCACUUACAGAUGGGCCCGCGGCGCAUUAGCUAGUUGGCGGGGUAAUGGCCCACCAAGGCAACGAUGCGUAGCCGACCUGAGAGGGUGAUCGGCCACAUUGGGACUGAGACACGGCCCAA
This 318-nucleotide ribosomal RNA is filed under the name uncultured bacterium. Its description in RNAcentral is "bacterial SSU rRNA". It matches the Rfam family "Bacterial small subunit ribosomal RNA", at positions 28 to 334 of the family's 1533-position model. The record is from RNAcentral.